RNAcentral lists this ribosomal RNA (601 nucleotides) under Adelphydraena orchymonti. Its description in RNAcentral is "SSU rRNA". It matches the Rfam family "Eukaryotic small subunit ribosomal RNA", at positions 22 to 602 of the family's 1831-position model. Lineage: Eukaryota; Metazoa; Arthropoda; Insecta; Coleoptera; Hydraenidae. The record is from RNAcentral.
AGUCAUAUGCUUGUCUCAAAGAUUAAGCCAUGCAUGUCUCAGUACAAGCCAAAUUAAGGUGAAACCGCGAAAGGCUCAUUAAAUCAGUUAUGGUUCCUUAGAUCGUACCCACACUUACUCGGAUAACUGUGGUAAUUCUAGAGCUAAUACGUGCAAAUAGAGCUCCGACCGGAGACGGAAGGGGCGCUUUUAUUAGAUCAAAACCAAUCGGCGGCGGGUAACACCGUCGUCGUACCUUUUGGUGACUCUGAAUAACUUAUUGCUGAUCGCACGGUCUCGCACCGGCGACGCAUCUUUCAAAUGUCUGCCUUAUCAACUGUCGAUGGUAGGUUCUGCGCCUACCAUGGUCGUAACGGGUAACGGGGAAUCAGGGUUCGAUUCCGGAGAGGGAGCCUGAGAAACGGCUACCACAUCCAAGGAAGGCAGCAGGCGCGCAAAUUACCCACUCCCGGCACGGGGAGGUAGUGACGAAAAAUAACGAUACGGGACUCAUCCGAGGCCCCGUAAUCGGAAUGAGUACACUCUAAACCCUUUAACGAGGAUCAAUUGGAGGGCAAGUCCGGUGCCAGCAGCCGCGGUAAUUCCAGCUCCAAUAGCGUAU